GGGUCGUUAGCUCAGCUGGGAGAGCACCUCCCUUACAAGGAGGGGGUCGGCGGUUCGAUCCCGUCAUCACCCACCA
This 76-nucleotide transfer RNA is filed under the name Escherichia coli. Its description in RNAcentral is "tRNA-Val". It matches the Rfam family "tRNA". From Rfam's summary of the family: Transfer RNA (tRNA) molecules are approximately 80 nucleotides in length. Their secondary structure includes four short double-helical elements and three loops (D, anti-codon, and T loops). Further hydrogen bonds mediate the characteristic L-shaped molecular structure. tRNAs have two regions of fundamental functional importance: the anti-codon, which is responsible for specific mRNA codon recognition, and the 3' end, to which the tRNAs corresponding amino acid is attached (by aminoacyl-tRNA synthetases). tRNAs cope with the degeneracy of the genetic code in two manners: having more than one tRNA (with a specific anti-codon) for a particular amino acid; and 'wobble' base-pairing, i.e. permitting non-standard base-pairing at the 3rd anti-codon position. The record is from RNAcentral. RNAcentral also lists the same sequence under 3 other names. Lineage: Bacteria; Pseudomonadati; Pseudomonadota; Gammaproteobacteria; Enterobacterales; Enterobacteriaceae.